This 438-nucleotide long non-coding RNA is filed under the name Homo sapiens (human). Its description in RNAcentral is "HSALNT0335715". Lineage: Eukaryota; Metazoa; Chordata; Mammalia; Primates; Hominidae. The record is from RNAcentral.
AUGGAAGCAUUUGAGAAAAAAACACCUUUCAAAGUGAAACUGUAUUAUGUUACUGGAACAUUUGUUAAAAAUCUAUUAACCUCUAAGAAGCCAAGAACAGAAAUUCAGCAAUAAAAGGUACUCUCAGAAACCACCUCUGGCCUGAAAAGGGGCCGACUGAAACAUAUACCUAUUUGAAGAUCCCUGGCACACAGAUACAGCAGAAGAAGCCCAAAUGUGUUAUCAAACCAUUGAGAGAAACAGAACUUUCCUCAAAGCCAAGAAACAGCUUUCAAAAGGAAGUUUCCCAAAAACUCUUCUAAAAGUACCAGCAUAUCUUCAAACCAAAUGAGGAAAUUGCAGGCCACAGAUACAAGUAACCAGCUUAACCACUGGAUUGUGCUCUCUCUUUCCUUCUGUAAUCUACUUUGAACAAAUAAUACAAACGUGAAUAAUCCA